This 253-nucleotide ribosomal RNA is filed under the name uncultured bacterium. RNAcentral describes it as "partial 16S ribosomal RNA". It matches the Rfam family "Bacterial small subunit ribosomal RNA", at positions 524 to 776 of the family's 1533-position model. The record is from RNAcentral.
UACGUAGGGGGCAAGCGUUGUCCGGAUUUAUUGGGCGUAAAGAGCGUGUAGGCGGCUUGGUAGGUCUGCUGUGAAAACUCGGGGCUCAACCCCGAGACGUCGGUGGAAACCACCUGGCUAGAGUCCGGAAGAGGAGAGUGGAAUUCCUGGUGUAGCGGUGAAAUGCGCAGAUAUCAGGAAGAAUAUCCGUGGCGAAGGCGGUUCUCUGGGACGGUACUGACGCUGAGACGCGAAAGCGUGGGGAGCGAACAGG